This 815-nucleotide ribosomal RNA is filed under the name Coconut lethal yellowing phytoplasma. RNAcentral's name for it is "bacterial SSU rRNA". The stretch from base 1 to 692 matches the Rfam family "Bacterial small subunit ribosomal RNA", at positions 845 to 1533 of the family's 1533-position model. The record is from RNAcentral. Lineage: Bacteria; Bacillati; Mycoplasmatota; Mollicutes; Acholeplasmatales; Acholeplasmataceae.
ACUGAAGUUAACACAUUAAGUACUCCGCCUGAGUAGUACGUACGCAAGUAUGAAACUUAAAGGAAUUGACGGGAUCCCGCACAAGCGGUGGAUCAUGUUGUUUAAUUCGAAGAUACACGAAAAACCUUACCAGGUCUUGACAUUAUCCUGCGAAGCUAUAGAAAUAUAGGGGAGGUUAUCAGGAUAACAGGUGGUGCAUGGUUGUCGUCAGCUCGUGUCGUGAGAUGUUAGGUUAAGUCCUAAAACGAGCGCAACCCUUGUCGUUAGUUACCAGCACGUUAUGGUGGGGACUUUAGCGAGACUGCCAAUGAAAAAAUUGGAGGAAGGUGAGGAUUACGUCAAAUCAUCAUGCCCCUUAUGAUCUGGGCUACAAACGUGAUACAAUGGCUAUUACAAAGAGCAGCUGAAACGUGAGUUGUUAGCUAAUCUCAAAAAAAUAGUCUCAGUUCGGAUUGAAGUCUGCAACUCGACUUCAUGAAGUUGGAAUCGCUAGUAAUCGCGAAUCAGCAUGUCGCGGUGAAUACGUUCUCGGGGUUUGUACACACCGCCCGUCAAACCAUGAAAGUUGACAAUACCCAAAACCAGUCGCUUAACUACUUCGGUAGAGGGAGCUGUCUAAGGUAGGGUCGAUGAUUGGGGUUAAGUCGUAACAAGGUAUCCCUACCGGAAGGUGGGGAUGGAUCACCUCCUUUCUAAGGAAAUGUCGUAUCAUGAUCAUCUUCAGUUUUGAAAGACUUAGAGUAGAUAAGUUUUUCUUUUGGCGUAGAGGAAGGGCCUAUAGCUCAGUUGGUAGAGCACACGCUUGAUAAGCGUGC